Vicugna pacos (alpaca) is the source of this 3659-nucleotide non-coding RNA. NCBI's taxonomy places the organism in Eukaryota, Metazoa, Chordata, Mammalia, Artiodactyla, Camelidae. The record is from RefSeq and is a predicted model, not a curated record.
AAACGUGCCCCAAAAUAGCUCUCUGGGCCCAGCCAGGGCAAGAGGACCAGGACGUCCUGUUCCCACCGGCUCUGGCCAGAGAGUGACUGUGUACUUGGCCUUCCCCUUUGGAGGCUGCUGGAAGGGAGGGCGGAGCGCAUCCUGCCUGUGGACUCACGGCAAUGAGCUGAGCCCCUGGACACAAACACCCUUAACCUGGGACACUGUGAUGCUUCCCAAAUGUGCCAACAAGGCCUCAGGGAACUGGAAGGAUGUGGAAGGCAGAGACUCCCUUCAGCAAGCACCUACUAUGUGCCUGGCUGGGCUCGGGGCUGGGGUGAGAGCUGUAAAGACAGCAUUUUGCUGUGGUUGAGAGAUCUGGAUGCAGCUGCACAAUUUUGAUGCUGCCUUGUCAAAAUGGAAAAUCGCUUUGAUUAUCGAGUGAACUGUACAACAGACACCCUGAUCCUUGUUCCAUCUCCUCCUCCCCCUACUCCAGCAAAGAAAUUGAGUCUCUAAAUACCAUCACCAUGCUAAAACUCUCCAGUUGUCUUACCGGAACUCAGGCUUGAAUAUCCAGCUGUGACUCCACAUGCCUGACUGACAAGUCAGCCUCGAGGAUCCAAGGCCUCAAAGCCCAUUCACAUCCAUUUCCCCACCUGAGUCUUAACACACCCUGAGAAGCCAACCUGGGCUGCAGGUGCCCAUUUCACAGAUAAAGAAGCUGAGGUGAAGCCACACAACUGGAAAGCAUCAAGCCAGGACUUGAACCCAAGGUUCUUUCAGCUCAGCCUGCUUCUCCUUGAUCCCAGGUCACAGCCCUUAGGGUGGAGGUUCAGGGGAGCGUUUUCUCUCUUCCUUCCUAAGACACCCCUUGAAGCCGGGGCUCAAGUCUGCAGUGCUCCUAUCAGGCCUUUCUCACAGCGAGGCUCCUGGGCUGCCCACAAGGAGGAGAGGGAGCCCCAACCCCAUCCCUCUCUCAGGAGAGGAGGGAAGGCAAGUGCUCAGAGCUGGGCACAAGGCCAGAUAAAGUUGGGGCUGGGCAGAAAGUGCAGUGGGCCCAAGGCCAGGUGGGAUUAGGACUCAGGACCUGUCUCACCAGGACCUGUGGGCACCAAUGGGCCCUCCUCCUUCUGGCUGGGGACUGUGCCCUGUAUCUGAACCAGUCCUUGGGACUCCUCUGCUCCCCCAUCAGGUGAGGUCUUACAGCCUCAGACCCAGUGUUUGUUGGGAUUCGGCUGGGCCAGGCCAGCCUCAGUGGCCCCUAGUUACCUUAACGGUCUGUGAGCCCCAGGAUCUCACGUGUAAUAGGUACCCAGGAAAGGUGUAUAAAACUGAACUAGGGCUUGCCUCAGUUUCUCCAGCUUGCACUUCCGGCCUCUGCCCUUAAUUUUCAUCAUAUUCAUUUGCCACAUGCCAGGCUCGCUGCUAGUUGCAGGGGAUGCAACAGUGACCAUCCAACAUGAUCCCUGUCCUAAAGGAGCUCGCAGUCUGGCUGGGCUGAUGGAUGAAUAACCAGAUAACUGUACUCAGUGCUGAGGAUGAGGGUAGGAGGGACUACCAGUGUCCACCAACCUCCAUCAUCUUUUUCCUCAUAAUGAGAGAAUUUGGGGGUGUUUUCAGGGCACAUGCUGCCAAGAGGGAGAGUACAGUUCCCAGCCUCCUUUGCAGUUAAGUGUGGUCAUAUGACUAAGUUCUGGCCAAUGGGAUGUAAGAAGAAGUGAUGCAAAAACACUUCCGGGUUAUGUCCCCAGAAGCAAUGACACUUCUUCUCUUCCUGCUGUCUGGAAUGUAGUUGUGAUGGAGGAGCUGGAGCAGCCAUUCUGGACUUGACUACAAACUGUGGGAUGAAGAUAGCGGAGCAACCAGAUAGAAGGAACCAGUGUUUCUAGAACAAACUUGCAGAAGUAAACCAACCUACCAACCUUGGACCUUCCACAUCUGUGCUAGAAUUAAAAUUCUAUCCCUUUGAGCCACUGUAGGUCUCUGUUAUAGCAGCUCAGAUGUAGUCUGACUUAUACAGAGGAGCAAAUAUAUGUUGUUGAGGGAGUCUCAGUGGCAUUUAACCCAGCCUGGUGGGAGUAGAUGUGGAAGACUUCCCAGAGGAGGCAACUUUUAGAUAGAGGCUUGACAAUGAGAAGGAGGAUUUCUCUAGAGAAAGUUUCCAGGCAGAGGUGUAGCAUAUGAGUAAAUCUAGAGGUGAGAGAGGACAUGGGGCUUUCAAGACACCUGAAAGAGCUGAGGGUAGUUGGAUCAUAGACAGUGAUGGGGCAGGUGAAAAUGGGGCUGGAUGGGUGGCAAGAUCUACCUCAAAGGGCCCGGAAAAGUCAUGUUUAGCCCUCUGAAUUUUGCCCUGAGGGCAAAGGGGAGUCAUGGAAGGCUUGAGGCAGGAGAGUGGGGUGAUUAGAUUUGCUCCUUACAAAGAUCUCUCUGACUACACGGUGGGAAAUUGAUUUAUUUUUUAAAAGCUGAGGCAGUGCUACGUGCCAGGCACUGAGGAUUAUCAGUGAACAAAACAGAUUUCGUUCCUAUCCUUAUGGAAUUUGCAACCUGGUGGAGUGAGACAUGAGUCAAAUAGCCAUGUAAAUAAACACGAAGCGUGAUAAGGCCAAUGCAGGGAGGUAUGCGAGGCUGUGAGGCAAUAUAAAGGGGGGUUGACUUGGGGGAGCCAGAAGAGCUUCCCUGGGAAGGCUGAUGGGGGGACAAAAGUGGGAAAGAUUCCAGGACAAGGGAACAGCACAGGCAUAGGAGCCCAGAUGGUAGCAGGGAAAACAAGAAGAUGGAGAAAUCCAGGCAGAGAUGGUGAGGAAGAGCAGGGAAUCUCAAGGGCCAGCCAGCUUUUGGCUUGAGCAAGGUGAGCAAUGACAGAGGAGCAAUGAGGAUGGGGAGGUAACUGGAAGUGAAGAUCCUGAGUUCAAAUAUAGUAUGUUGGACCUGAGGUUCCUAUGAACCUUCCAAGUGGUGAUGGUGAGUGUCUGGCAUGCAGAGGGGCUCCCUGACCAAUUGUACUUGUGGUCAUCCCAUGCAUGGACUCCCAGGCCAAAGCUCCCCAAAUGCUGCCCUUUGGAGCACCUAUUGUGUGCCAGGAACUAUGCUUGGGAUAGACACAGUGAUUUCCCUCUCAUGUCUUCUUGGCUGGCAGGGUCCAGUUUUGUUGGAUCUGCAUCUACCUAGGUGCUCAGGGACAGUGGCCAUUCCCCUCCCCAGCCUCAGAGUGAGUUAUUAUGGGUCUAAGCCAACUGUGGUCAUUCUCAUUUCCAUCAUCAGUGACUGGUUUGGAAUUAGGCAUGUGCUACAAUCUUGGUCAAUGGGAAGACUUCAGGGGAACUUUUGGGAACAAUUGUCUCCCCCAUAAAAGGGGACACAUGGGAGGAGGUGACUUUCUUCUUUAUUUGAUGUUGUCAUAUCUGUGUGUGAUGCCCAGAGCUGCAGCAGCCAUCUUGAAACCAUGAGGACAGCCAUCAAUAAAUUGCUGAGAUUAGCAGAGCAGGAAGAUGCAAAGAAUGUGAGUUUUUGUUUAUAUCUUCAUGCCUUCAAGUUAAACAACCAUUAUUAGAUUUCCCCUUUUCUCCAUCUUCAGUUACGUGUUCUAUUCCUUGUGGCUGAACACAUUCUAAGAAAGUGCUUCAUAUGCAUUGUUUUGUUUAAUCCUCUCAAUAACCUUUUGAGGUUGGUAUCAC